ACGCGCGUUCCCAUUUUGUUGGUUUCUGAGAUCGCCGUAAUGAUUAAUAGGGAUAGUUGGGGGCAUUUGUAUUCCGUCGUCAGAGGUGAAAUUCUUGGAUUGCCGGAAGACAAACUACUGCGAAAGCAUUUGCCAAGGAUGUUUUCAUUGAUCAAGAACGAAGGAAGGGGGAUCGAAAACGAUUAGAUACCAUUGUAGUCUCUUCUGUAAACUAUGCCAAUUGGGGAUCGGCGCAGGAUUUUUAAUGACUGCGUCGGCACCCGAAGAGAAAUCUUUAAAUGAGGUUCGGGGGGGAGUAUGGUCGCAAGGCUGAAACUUAAAGGAAUUGACGGAAGGGCACCACCAGGUGUGGAGCCUGCGGCUUAAUUUGACUCAACACGGGGAAACUCACCAGGUCCAGACACAAUAAGGAUUGACAGAUUGAUAGCUCUUUCUUGAUCUUGUGGUUGGUGGUGCAUGGCCGUUCUUAGUUGGUGGAGUGAUUUGUCUGGUUAAUUCCGAUAACGAACGAGACCUUAACCUGCUAAAUAGACCAGCCGGCUUUGGCUGGCUGCUGUCUUCUUAGAGGGACUAUCAGCGUUUAGCUGAUGGAAGUUUGAGGCAAUAACAGGUCUGUGAUGCCCUUAGAUGUUCUGGGCCGCACGCGCGCUACACUGACAGAGCCAGCGAGUCUACCACCUUUGCCGGAAGGCAUGGGUAAUCUUGU
RNAcentral lists this ribosomal RNA (706 nucleotides) under uncultured fungus. Its description in RNAcentral is "SSU rRNA". It matches the Rfam family "Eukaryotic small subunit ribosomal RNA", at positions 826 to 1555 of the family's 1831-position model. Lineage: Eukaryota; Fungi. The record is from RNAcentral.